RNAcentral lists this ribosomal RNA (976 nucleotides) under Candidatus Aenigmatarchaeota archaeon. RNAcentral describes it as "bacterial SSU rRNA". It matches the Rfam family "Archaeal small subunit ribosomal RNA", at positions 1 to 833 of the family's 1478-position model. Lineage: Archaea; Nanobdellati; Candidatus Aenigmatarchaeota. The record is from RNAcentral.
UUCAAUUCCGGCUGAUCCUGCCGGAGACCACUGCUAUCUGGGUUCGGCUAAGCCAUGCAAGUCUUUGCCUCUCUGAGGCAAGGCGAAAAGCUCAGUAAAACAUAGUCAACCUGCCCUUGGGUCCGGGAUAAUCUCGCGAAAGUGAGGCUAAUACCGGAUAGGCAAGGAUGCCUGGAAUGGUUCCUUGCCCAAAGCUUCGGCGCCCAAGGAUGGGACUAUGUCGGAUUAGGUUGUUGUUGGGGUAACGGCCCAACAAGCCUAUAAUCCGUACGGGCCUUGAGAGAGGAAGCCCGGAGAUGGACUCUGAGACAACAGUCCAGGCCCUACGGGGCGCAGCAGGCGCGAAAACUUCCCAAAAACCCUUUUUACAGGAGCUAACGCUUCCUCAAAAAGCGUUUACGGAAAAAUAUGUAAAAAGGGUUGGGGAAUGCGCGCAAGCGUGAGGAGGGAACCCAGAGUGGUUGCCCUUUGGGGUAACCUUUUCUCGAGUGUAAAAAGCUCGAGGAAUAAGCGGUGGGUAAGACGGGUGCCAGCCGCCGCGGUAAUACCCGCGCCGCGAGUGGUGGUCACGAUUAUUGGGCUUAAAGCGUCCGUAGCCGGCUUGUAAAGUCCUUGGUGAAAUCCCAUAGAAAACUAUGGGGCUUGCCAAGGAUACUUACAAGCUUGGGACCGGGAGAGGGCAGCGGUACUCCAGGGGUAGGGGUAAAAUCCUGUAAUCCUUGGAGGACCACCUGUGGCGAAGGCGGCUGCCUGGAACGGAUCCGACGGUGAGGGACGAAAGCCAGGGGAGCGAACGGGAUUAGAUAGACCCUUUUUACAGGAGCUGAUGCCUCCUCAAAAAGCAUUAGCGGAAAAACAAGUAAAAAGGGUCCUGAAAACCCCGGUAGUCCUGGCCGUAAACGAUGCCCGCUAGACGUUGGCAGUCUUACGGGGGCUGCCAGUGUCGUAGCGAAAGCGUUAAGCGGGCCGCCUGGGG